RNAcentral lists this long non-coding RNA (1792 nucleotides) under Sus scrofa (pig). RNAcentral's name for it is "lncRNA (ENSSSCG00030004176.1)". Lineage: Eukaryota; Metazoa; Chordata; Mammalia; Artiodactyla; Suidae. The record is from RNAcentral.
GGAGUCCCGUAACUGCAUCUUGCGCACAAAGGCGGACUGGGUUCAGCAGCGAACCCCACCAGAGCACACCGAUCCCGAUGGCGCGGAAGGUGCUCUGCUAGCGGCAACGAAGAUGGAUAUUUAGUGCAAACACUGGGAGACCGACUGCCUCGAACAUUCCAAAGAGGACCUUCAGUGGGCAGAGUAGGUGGGCGAGGCUUCUGCUGCUGAAGGUCGCGGAGCCCUUCCGUUUGCCUCUCUCCCGGAUGCUUCUCCUCCUGUUUGCGCUUGCGGAAGGGGUGAAGUCAACACCCUUUUGUGUGAAAUGUGGGAUAGUUAAACCAUAUCGCAUUCUUAUCCUCGUCUGCACUUUCAGUGGUUCUGCCCUUCUGUGGUGGGCCUUCAGCCUCUCCACCUGGGUGAGGAUAGAAAUCCCAAGUGGCUCCCAAGUCCUUUUCAGCGCUCUUUUUGCAAUAUGCAGUGGUGAGAUCAAGUGUUGGAUUCCACUAUCAAAAUCAAGUAUCUGUGUGUUCCUUGCAUUACUGCUGCACUCUCUGCAUGUUUUGAAAGUAACCAACUUAUGCAAGGAUGCGAAAAUCACCUUUCUCUACCCUACUUUCAUCCUUUCAUUCAGCGCCAUACUAUUUUUCUUAUCUGGAAUCCUCUGCUUAUUCAGCUCCCAUCAUUGUUGGCUUCAGUGCGUCUUACAGCAACCAAUCCAAGUGAAACCUAUGCAAAUGUCAGUGGUCAGUGGGAACUCAGCAAUGGUCACAGAAAGGACACCGGGUAGAGAUGGCUAGCCUAACCUCAGUGGUGGUGAGAAAGCUGAUUUUAGAAGAAACAUGUCUCACCUGUAAUUCAAGAUUUCACAGCUAUACACACACUCUUAUUUAAUUACUGCAUAAGACUGGAAAGAGUUGGCUGGUUACUAAUCAUUGUUCAAGAUAUGGCUUAGGAUUCCGGGGACUUAGAUAUUCAUAAGAGAGAAAACACAGUUGGGGUGUGGGGAAGGUUGAGUGUUUGGCUCUUGGGGACUUGAAAUGAAAAAAACUUCUCUUCACCUUGAAGAUUCUUCUCUUGGCACCCAUUUCCCAACCCUCUUGCUGGUAUGCCUGGUCUCCUGGCAGUGGUUUUUUUUAGCAGUAACAAAACUCUCUCUCCACUAUAAAGCCUGAGUUUGAUAAAAACAAAUUUUUUUUCUGCUCUCUGGGAAUUUCAUGAGUGGAAUCUUUUCACUACUGUGUUAUUCGGGACUCUUUUUUUUUUUUUUUUUUUUUUGCAUGUAACAAACCUUAUCCAAACUACCUUCAACAAAAAUUGAAUUUAUUGGAUGCAGGGGUUACCUCAUAGACUCAAAGAAAGUUCUGGUAGAAUCAGGGCUACAUGAGAGAGUUGGGGAGCUGGAAUCUUGAGAUCAUUUCCUCAGGAUACUAUUUUUUUAAACUAUCCACUGAAGGUUAAUGGAAUUUCUCAAUCCUUAAAAUGGAAGCACUAUCCUAAAUUCCUCUUGCUCAUCACUUUCAAUGAAUCACCAAAGCUUGUCCUUUCCACCUCAACAAGACUUCCGUUCCCCUCCCUGAGCCCUCCUCACUGGUCAUCGUGACCAGGUCUUUGUCAUCCCUGCCCAGACUGUGUUGUCUCUGAAUGUGGCUUGUCCCCCACUGUGGCCUACUUCUGCGAAGCUGCCCAGCUCGAGCUUCCUAAAACACAGAGCUGAGAAUGUGCUCCUUAAAAGCCUAUUUUGCCUUCUUCUGGCCUUCAGGAUAAAUUCCUUAUCUUGAUAAAUAAAGUUAUUUACAAGUUGGCAUCAACC